RNAcentral lists this long non-coding RNA (227 nucleotides) under Gallus gallus (chicken). Lineage: Eukaryota; Metazoa; Chordata; Aves; Galliformes; Phasianidae. The record is from RNAcentral.
CAACCAGAGCCAGCCAAGAGACUCCAACCUGACCCAUGUCAAAGGAAAAUAAGACCUCAGCCUUCAUCCAAAAGUCCACCAAAGAACCUCCAAAAGAUACGCAUGUGUCAUAGAGCUGAGACUUGGGGCAGGGAUAAAUGUCAAUCAUUUUGGGGACUCGCUGUACUAACCCAACGUUUUCUUGGAAAUCUAAUGCAUGUGUAAGCAGCAGCUUCUUUAAGUAUGUG